This 829-nucleotide ribosomal RNA is filed under the name uncultured beta proteobacterium. Its description in RNAcentral is "bacterial SSU rRNA". It matches the Rfam family "Bacterial small subunit ribosomal RNA", at positions 68 to 918 of the family's 1533-position model. The record is from RNAcentral. Lineage: Bacteria; Pseudomonadati; Pseudomonadota; Betaproteobacteria.
GGCAGCGCGGGCUUCGGCCUGGCGGCGAGUGGCGAACGGGUGAGUAAUACAUCGGAACGUGCCCAGUAGUGGGGGAUAGCCCGGCGAAAGCCGGAUUAAUACCGCAUACGACCUGAGGGUGAAAGCGGGGGACCGAAAGGCCUCGCGCUAUUGGAGCGGCCGAUGUCGGAUUAGCUAGUUGGUGGGGUAAAGGCUUACCAAGGCGACGAUCCGUAGCUGGUCUGAGAGGACGACCAGCCACACUGGGACUGAGACACGGCCCAGACUCCUACGGGAGGCAGCAGUGGGGAAUUUUGGACAAUGGGGGCAACCCUGAUCCAGCCAUGCCGCGUGCGGGAAGAAGGCCUUCGGGUUGUAAACCGCUUUUGUCAGGGAAGAAAUCCUCUGGGCUAAUAUCCCGGGGGGAUGACGGUACCUGAAGAAUAAGCACCGGCUAACUACGUGCCAGCAGCCGCGGUAAUACGUAGGGUGCGAGCGUUAAUCGGAAUUACUGGGCGUAAAGCGUGCGCAGGCGGUUGUGCAAGACAGAUGUGAAAUCCCCGGGCUUAACCUGGGAACUGCAUUUGUGACUGCUCGGCUAGAGUGCGGCAGAUGGGAGUGGAAUUCCGCGUGUAGCAUUGAAAUGCGUAGAUAUGCGGAGGAACACCGAUCGCGAACGCAGCUCCCUGGGCCUGCACUGACGCUCAUGCACGAUACGUGCGGAGCAACAGGAUAGAUCCCUGGUAUCCAGCCCUAACGAUUCACUGGUGUUGGUCCUUACUGGUCACUACGUACUCAGCGUGGAUUGACGCCUGGAUACGGCGCAGGUUGAACUCAAUGAUUGACGGGA